CUUGACUCACAUAAGAGGUCCAGCCUGCCCAGUGAUAUAAAAUUCAACGGCCGCGGUAACCUAACCGUGCAAAGGUAGCAUAAUCACUUGUUCUCUAAAUAGGGACUUGUAUCAACGGCACCACGAGGGCUAUACUGUCUCCUUUCUCCAAUCAGUGAAACUGAUCUCCCCGUGAAGAAGCGGGGAUUUUUCUAUAAGACGAGAAGACCCCAUGGAGCUUUAAGCAACACAUUUACUUUUUAUCUUUAUAUCAACUUAACAAAAUACCUAAAUAUUAGCUUUAGGUUGGGGGGACCGCGGAGUAUAAUAUAACCUCCACGACAAAUGGGCCACGCCCUUAUCCACGAGCCACAACUCUAAGAAUCAAUAAACUGAUGUUUAAUGAUCCGAUAAUUCGAUCAACGAACCA
RNAcentral lists this ribosomal RNA (409 nucleotides) under Hylarana nigrovittata (black-striped frog). RNAcentral's name for it is "Sylvirana nigrovittata (black-striped frog) partial 16S ribosomal RNA". It matches the Rfam family "Bacterial large subunit ribosomal RNA", at positions 1835 to 2459 of the family's 2925-position model. The record is from RNAcentral. Lineage: Eukaryota; Metazoa; Chordata; Amphibia; Anura; Ranidae.